This 808-nucleotide long non-coding RNA is filed under the name Ananas comosus (pineapple). Its description in RNAcentral is "long non-coding RNA (ACOM_LNC006271)". Lineage: Eukaryota; Viridiplantae; Streptophyta; Magnoliopsida; Poales; Bromeliaceae. The record is from RNAcentral.
AUAUAUAUAUGAGUAGAGCUACUAUGCUAUCGGAAGUAUAGAGAAUCUGGUGCUUCCGAUUUUUUGACCCUUAGAUCAACUCCUUUAAUCAUUUCUAACCUUUAGAUUAAUACUAUUAAUCUGUGGGAACCACUCAACCCUUGGGGGACCGCAAUCAUCCCAACGUAUAAUUUUUGAUCCAAUGGUCAAAAAAGUUGGAACUAUCAGAUCCUCUAUGCUUCCGAUAGCAUAGUAGCUCUACACUAUAUAUAUAUAGAGAGAGAGAGGGGAGAGAGAGCAGGGCUGCUGUGCUCUCAGGAGCACGGAGGCCUCCGUGCUCCUGAGUCGUUUUCGAUGAUGAAAUUUUCGAAUCGAAGAUCGGCUCCGUUAGACUUGAUCUAGCGCAUUUGAAGUUUCUAGAAAAUAAUUUUUGCGAUUUUUUGAUAUCAUUUACCUAGUGAUCGAAACAAUUCAAAAUUUAUAAUUUUUAAAGGUUGAUAUCUGCCGUUUUCAAAUUUAACGGUGUAGAAGUAUUCAAAUCAGAUGAAAUUUUGAGAUAAAAUUCUUUAUACUAUCUACAAUAAGAUCAAUAUUUCUGAUCGAAAAUUUUAGUGUUAUAUCACCACUUUUUUAGGAUUUUUAUUUUCAGUCGUUAAAAAUUAUUGAUUUUGAAUCAUUUCAAUUACUAGGUAAAUGAUAUCGAAAAAUCGCAAAAAUUAUUUUCUAGAAACUUCAAAUACGCUAGAUAAAGCUUAACAGAGCUGAUCGUCGAUUUGGAAACUCAACCAUCGAAAACGGCUCAGGCCUCCGUGCUCCUGAGAGCAUAGCA